GCCCGACUUGAACGGAGCUCAUUUUUUGUGACUGAAAAAGCGGUGGCAAAAAUAGCGGGAGUGGAAGGCGGAAAUAGCU
RNAcentral lists this unclassified non-coding RNA (79 nucleotides) under Epilithonimonas lactis. RNAcentral describes it as "Chryseobacterium halperniae Flavo-1 RNA". The record is from RNAcentral. Lineage: Bacteria; Pseudomonadati; Bacteroidota; Flavobacteriia; Flavobacteriales; Weeksellaceae.